UACGUAGGGUGCAAGCGUUGUCCGGAAUUAUUGGGCGUAAAGAGCUUGUAGGCGGUUUGUCGCGUCUGCUGUGAAAUUUCGGGGCUCAACCCCGAACUUGCAGUGGGUACGGGCAGACUAGAGUGUGGUAGGGGAGACUGGAAUUCCUGGUGUAGCGGUGAAAUGCGCAGAUAUCAGGAGGAACACCGGUGGCGAAGGCGGGUCUCUGGGCAGUAACUGACGCUGAGGAACGAAAGCGUGGGUAGCAAACAGG
This 253-nucleotide ribosomal RNA is filed under the name uncultured bacterium. Its description in RNAcentral is "partial 16S ribosomal RNA". It matches the Rfam family "Bacterial small subunit ribosomal RNA", at positions 524 to 776 of the family's 1533-position model. The record is from RNAcentral.